GCCUACUAGGUAGACAGUUACCAGCUAGCUUAAGGAGGUAUAUAUGGACAAAUUGUACGCUAUGCUCUAGUUCGCUGAGUAGCACUGCUUUCAGAACACAUGAAAAAGCCAUGAGGAAUAAAUAUGGCAAGAGUGUAUCUAAAGGUAAACUACAGCUGAAGAUACAGAAUGCAACAGAGACCCCAGUUAACAGACUCAUCAGUAAGUCUGUAGCAGAGGUGAUGGAAAAGACUCCUAGCAUGCAAUCCUACCAGACAUUGAGUUUAAAG
Anneissia japonica is the source of this 269-nucleotide long non-coding RNA. RefSeq lists it as uncharacterized. The record is from RefSeq and is a predicted model, not a curated record. NCBI's taxonomy places the organism in Eukaryota, Metazoa, Echinodermata, Crinoidea, Comatulida, Comatulidae. The transcript is spliced from 3 exons.